CUACGGGCGGCUCCAGUGAGGAAUAUUGGACAAUGGGUGAGAGCCUGAUCCAGCCAUCCCGCGUGAAGGACGACGGCCCUAUGGGUUGUAAACUUCUUUUGUAUAGGGAUAAACCUAGAUACGUGUAUCUAGCUGAAGGUACUAUACGAAUAAGCACCGGCUAACUCCGUGCCAGCAGCCGCGGUAAUACGUAGGGUGCAAGCGUUAUCCGGAUUUAUUGGGUUUAAAGGGUCCGUAGGCGGAUCUGUAAGUCAGUGGUGAAAUCUCACAGCUUAACUGUGAAACUGCCAUUGAUACUGCAGGUCUUGAGUGUUGUUGAAGUAGCUGGAAUAAGUAGUGUAGCGGUGAAAUGCAUAGAUAUUACUUAGAACACCAAUUGCGAAGGCAGGUUACUAAGCAACAACUGACGCUGAUGGACGAAAGCGUGGGGAGCGAACAGGAUUAGAUACCCCCGUAGUC
Molecule: ribosomal RNA, 459 nt
Filed under: uncultured bacterium
Lineage: Bacteria
Description: partial 16S ribosomal RNA
Rfam family: Bacterial small subunit ribosomal RNA
Source: RNAcentral